CAAUCGGCCCCUUUAGGGGCCACCAAUUUUUUAACGUAAGAACAA
Molecule: non-coding RNA, 45 nt
Organism: Habropoda laboriosa
Lineage: Eukaryota; Metazoa; Arthropoda; Insecta; Hymenoptera; Apidae
Source: Rfam